Molecule: ribosomal RNA, 253 nt
Filed under: uncultured bacterium
Lineage: Bacteria
Description: partial 16S ribosomal RNA
Rfam family: Bacterial small subunit ribosomal RNA
Source: RNAcentral
UACGGAGGACCCAAGCGUUAUCCGGAUUUAUUGGGUUUAAAGGGUGCGUAGGCGGAUUGAUAAGUUAGAGGUGAAAUGUCCGAGCUCAACUCGGGAACUGCCUCUAAUACUGUUGAUCUAGAGAGUAGAUGCGGUAGGCGGAAUGUAUGGUGUAGCGGUGAAAUGCUUAGAGAUCAUACAGAACACCGAUUGCGAAGGCAGCUUACCAAUCUAUAUCUGACGUUGAGGCACGAAAGCGUGGGGAGCAAACAGG